This 76-nucleotide transfer RNA is filed under the name Flavobacterium phage vB_FspP_elemoA_7-9A. RNAcentral's name for it is "tRNA-Ala". It matches the Rfam family "tRNA". From Rfam's summary of the family: Transfer RNA (tRNA) molecules are approximately 80 nucleotides in length. Their secondary structure includes four short double-helical elements and three loops (D, anti-codon, and T loops). RNAcentral also lists the same sequence under 1 other name. The record is from RNAcentral. Lineage: Duplodnaviria; Heunggongvirae; Uroviricota; Caudoviricetes.
UCCAAAGUAGUGUAACUUGGUAAUACAAUCAAUGGGCAACUGUUGAUAAAUGAAGGUUCGAAUCCUUCCUUUGGAG